This 429-nucleotide ribosomal RNA is filed under the name uncultured Nitrosococcus sp. RNAcentral describes it as "bacterial SSU rRNA". It matches the Rfam family "Bacterial small subunit ribosomal RNA", at positions 355 to 776 of the family's 1533-position model. Lineage: Bacteria; Pseudomonadati; Pseudomonadota; Gammaproteobacteria; Chromatiales; Chromatiaceae. The record is from RNAcentral.
UGGGGAAUAUUGGACAAUGGGGGCAACCCUGAUCCAGCAAUGCCGCGUGGGUGAAGAAGGCUUUCGGGUUGUAAAGCCCUUUCGGUGGGGAAGAAAGGCGGUGCGUGAAGAGCGCACUGAGUUGACGUUACCCACAGAAGAAGCACCGGCUAACUCCGUGCCAGCAGCCGCGGUAAUACGGAGGGUGCGAGCGUUAAUCGGAAUCACUGGGCGUAAAGGGCGCGUAGGCGGUUUAGCAAGUCGGAUGUGAAAGCCCUGGGCUUAACCUAGGAAUGGCAUUCGAGACGGUUGGACUGGAGUGUGGUAGAGGGAGGCGGAAUUUCCGGUGUAGCGGUGAAAUGCGUAGAGAUCGGAAGGAACACCAGUGGCGAAGGCGGCCUCCUGGACCAUGACUGACGCUGAGGUGCGAAAGCGUGGGGAGCGAACAGG